AAAAAGCAAAGAAAACUGGCCUAAUCGAAUCAUGCACCGUUUAAAAGAAGCUCAACGCGUCAAGAUAGGGUCUAGGGACUCCAUUUCUCGCUUCUGAAUCAACUUUACCUCUUCGGAUUUCGCAGAUUUCUCUCAUAAACCAGCCAAAGCAACGCUCGCGAUUCUUUCAUCUCAUUUCAGCUGAACGUAUUUUCUUGGAAAACAUAUUCAUCUCUUGACCUGUUUGAGAAGAGGAAAAAGAGAGGUCAACAGAAAAGGAAGCCGAUAAUACUGAAUGUAUUUUCUUGGAAAACAUAUUCAUCUGUUGACCUGUUUGAGAAGGGGAAAAAGAGAGGUCAACAGAAAAGGAAGCUGAUAAUACUGAACGUAUUUUCUUGGAAAACAUAUUCAUCUCUUGACCUGUUUGAGAAGGGGAAAAAGAGAGGUCAACAGAACAGGAUCCUUCAACGUCGAUCAUCUUCAUCCUUCGUUUUCCUCCAUUACCCCUACAUCAAAGCCAUGACUGAAGAAUCAGGUAUGUUUAUGGUUCCCCAAACAGUUGGAAGCGUUCUUUGUUGCAGAUGCGGCAUUCCAAUGGCACCAAAUGCUGCCAAUAUGUGUGUCAAGUGUUUGCGCUCCGAAGUUGACAUCACGGAAGGUCUUCAGAAGCAUGUAAUCAUAAUCCAUUGCCCUGAGUGUGACAGCUACUUGCAGCCACCGAGAACUUGGCUCAAAGCCCAAUUGGAAUCGAAGGAGCUGUUGACAUUCUGCGUAAAGAGGCUGAAGAAUUUGAAUAAAGUAAGAUUGGUGCAUGCGGAGUUCAUUUGGACCGAACCCCAUUCCAAGAGGAUCAAGGUCAGAUUGAAAGUUCAGAAAGAGGUUCUUAACGGAGCAAUACUUGAACAAUCGUAUGUGGUCGAGUAUGUUCAGCAAGAACAUAUGUGUGAACCCUGUUCAAGGAUUCAGGCCAAUCCAGACCAGUGGGUUGCAGCCGUGCAACUGCGCCAACAUGUUUCUCACAGGCGUACUUUCUUUUACUUGGAGCAGCUGAUUCUGAAGCACAAUGCUGCUGCCUCUUCCAUAAAGAUCAAGCAGAUGGAUCAAGGGAUCGACUUCUUUUUCUCGAACCGGAGUCAUGGUGUGAAGUUUGUGGAGUUCGUUGGUAAAGUUGCUCCAAUUAGGAGUCGCAAUGACAAACAGCUUGUUUCCCAUGAUACUAAGAGCAAUAACUACAAUUACAAGUACACUUUCUCUGUUGAAAUCUGUCCGAUAUGUCGUGAGGAUUUGAUCUGUUUGCCUCCAAAGGUUGCAGCUAGUUUGGGAAAUCUAGGUCCUCUUGUGAUUUGCACCAAAGUCACCAACAGCAUUGCUUUGCUUGACCCUUUCACCUUAAGGAUCAGUUUCUUGGAUGCUGAUCAGUAUUGGAGGGUGCCAUUCAAAUCUCUAUCCACUAGCAGGCAACUAGUGGAGUAUAUAGUGUUAGAUGUGGAGAUUGUUUCUUCUGAAGUUAACGUUGGUGGCUCCAAGUAUUUCUUAGCUGAUGCACAAGUGGCUCGUGUAUCAGAUUUUGGGAAAAAUGAUACAAUUUUCUCCAUAAGAACGCAUCUGGGCCAUCUUUUGAACCCUGGGGAUUAUGCCCUUGGUUACGACUUAUAUGGAGCUAACAGUAAUGAUGGUGAGCUAGAGAAGCACAAGGGUCUGAUCCUCCCAGAGGCAAUUCUGAUAAAGAAGAGCUACGAAGAGAAGCGCCAGAAGAAGCGCGGGAAGCCUCGUGCAUGGAAGCUUAAAUCCCUUGACAUGGAAGUUGAUGAUAGGAAGGGAAGAGCUGAGCAUGAGAAGAUGAACACCGAGUAUGAACACUUCUUGAAAGAUUUGGAGGAGAACCCUGAAAUGAGGUUUAAUAUAUCAUUGUACCGUAAUAGAGAUUACCAGCCAUCAGAGAUGACGUCUGUGGCUGAUGGAGAUGACUUGCCUUCUGUUCCACUGGAAGAGUUGCUUGCUGAUCUCGAACUAAGUGAAGAGGAGGAAGGUGAGAGUCAUAGCAUGAUGGAGUGAUGAGAAGCUUUUGCUCUUAAAACAAAUUUUCCUUCCUCUGAACUUUUAUCGUAUAAGUAGCAUUUGCAUUGUCUUUUUUUUCUUUGCAUUGUUGGUCAGGGUCGCUUGUUUUUCAGUAACUAAAUUAUAUUUUUGCAGUAGAUGGUUUUUUCCCUGUUUUGUUCCCCUUCUCUAUUGUAAUGGCCGUUAUGUUUUAAUGUUGUAAGUUGAUUUAUUCUUGAUAGUCAUGUUUUGGGAUUGUUGGAUAUGAUGGAAGUAUAAAUGCAAUGUUUUAAAUGAAAUAAA
This is an RNA transcript of Juglans microcarpa x Juglans regia, 2319 nucleotides long. It is a transcript of the gene named 60S ribosomal export protein NMD3-like, with no coding region annotated. The transcript has 6 exons. The record is from RefSeq and is a predicted model, not a curated record. NCBI's taxonomy places the organism in Eukaryota, Viridiplantae, Streptophyta, Magnoliopsida, Fagales, Juglandaceae.